Molecule: non-coding RNA, 639 nt
Organism: Cyanistes caeruleus (blue tit)
Lineage: Eukaryota; Metazoa; Chordata; Aves; Passeriformes; Paridae
Source: RefSeq, a predicted model, not a curated record
AGGAACUCCUCUAGGAGCUUUCCCUCUGAGGGAUAAUUGUGGAUUCUAUGUUAAUCAGCUCACCAGCCUCCACAAACAGCCAAAAACAGCAGAUCAUUUUAGAACAGAUCUAUCUGUAAAAGAAAACUGAAACACAACACUUACACGGGAAACGAUGUUCUGACCAGAUGCAAUAUGAAAACCACGAGCUACUGUCCUCAACUGAGCAAGAGCUUUACUUCCUCUUUUUAAUAUACAUCCAUAUAAGGAAUAUUCAUCUUGCCAAACCCCCUUAUUCAUCUGAGCAACAGCCUCACAUUGGUAUGUCCCAGGGAAGUGACAGAUAUAGGAGUAUUGGAGAUCCUUCCCAGACACUCCAAGGAUCUGUCUCCUCUGCACUGCUUUCCCAGGCUUUCCUGGCUGUUUCACAACCUCCAUUUAGAACCUACUGUGUCGUCUUUGCUCCUGAGAGGCUGCAAUGUAGUGGUCAUGGAUAAAGCAGCAACCAAGCAGCUUCAGGCUUGCUGUGCACAGAUGGAGGACAUAAGCACUGACAUUGGUCUCAUAGGCAGUGUCACAGAAAAUGUCAAGAAUCAAAUCCACAUCUUCAAAGUGUUAUUCUAAUAUUUUAAAAGAAAGGCAAUUACUUUCAUAGAUAUA